UCUGGUUGAUCCUGCCAGUAGUGAUAUGCUUGUUUCAAAGAUUAAGCCAUGCAUGUCUAAGUAUAAGCGAACUUAUACAGUGAAACUGCGGAUGGCUCAUUAAAACAGUUUGAAUUUAUUUGAUGAAUGUAUGAGAAUACUACUUGGAUAACCGUAGUAAUUCUAGAGCUAAUACAUGCAACGACGCCCGACCGUUUCACUACGGAAGGGCUGUAUUUAUUGGAUACCAAAACCAUCCUUCCCUCGGGAAGUUUUGUUUGAUGAUUCACAAUAACUGAUCGGAUCGCCACUGUGGUGGCGACAGGUCAUUCAACAUUCUGCCCUAUCAGCUUUCGAUGGUUGUGUAGUGGACAACCAUGGCCAUAACGGGUAACGGAGAAUCAGGGUUCGAUUCCGGAGAAGGAGCUUGAGAAUUGGCUACUACAUCUAAGGAAGGCAGCAGGCGCGCAAAUUACCCAAUCCCGAUUCGGGGAGGUAGUGACAAAAAAUAACAAUACCGGGCCUUUUUGGGCUUGGUAAUUGGAAUGAGGGAGAGUUAAACGGACCGUCGAGUAUCCAUUGGAGGGCAAGUCUGGUGCCAGCAGCUGCGGUAAUACCAGCUCCAAUAGCGUAUAUUAAAGUUGUUGCAGUUAAAAAGCUCGUAGUUGGACUUGUGUGCGCUGUCCGCGGGUGGCCUGCGCCCAAAAGGGCGUUUCGGUUCGGCCCCGGUGGCGCCUUGAAAUCUGCAGCUGGGGGGACGUUGGCCUUAACUGGUCGGCGACCGCACGCCGGCUGCUCGGUUACUGUGAGAAAAUUAGAGUGUUCAAGGCAGGCAUUGGGUGCAAUUGAAUACAUUAGCAUGGAAUAAUAAAAUAUGGCUCCUGCCGUAUUUUGUUGGUUUUGACUGGUGGGAGUAAUGAUUGAUAGGGACGGUUGGGGGUGCUAGUAUUGAGCGGCCAGAGGUGAAAUUCAUGGAUUCGCUCAAGACUAACUUAUGCGAAAGCAUUCACCAAGGACGUCCUCUUUAAUCAAGAACGAAAGUUGGGGGAUCGAAGACGAUCAGAUACCGUCGUAGUCUCAACCAUAAACUAUGUCGACUUGGGAUCGGCGGUAGUUUUUUCAUUAAGACACUGUCGGGACCACGGGAGAAAUCAAAGUGUCUGGACUCUGGGGGAAGUAUGGUCGCAAGGCUGAAACUUGAAGGAAUUGACGGAAGGGCACCACCAGGAGUGGAGCCU
RNAcentral lists this ribosomal RNA (1217 nucleotides) under metagenome. RNAcentral's name for it is "SSU rRNA". It matches the Rfam family "Eukaryotic small subunit ribosomal RNA", at positions 1 to 1184 of the family's 1831-position model. The record is from RNAcentral.